Molecule: long non-coding RNA, 1292 nt
Organism: Scylla paramamosain (green mud crab)
Lineage: Eukaryota; Metazoa; Arthropoda; Malacostraca; Decapoda; Portunidae
Exons: 2
Source: RefSeq, a predicted model, not a curated record
UUAGGGUGAUCGUCCCUCAUAAAUAAUCAACACUUUGGCAAUACCUCAGAAGCGUGGUAUGGCUCUGAGAAGCGUUUAAUGCCUCUGAGCGGCAUUUAAACCAACCCAUGUGCUCAGCGAGUGAUUUAAAGGUCUACGUUGACAUCCGAGAAAUUUGCAUUUCUCAUCUAUUUUUUCUUGAUUUUUUGAAGAUUUUUGUAAUUUUUUUUGUGGCGAAUCUAGCAUCACCCGUCAGGCAAGCCUCUAAGCAGUCACUGAGGGCAGUGAGGGGUGUCUCAGUCAGUAGCCCGCGGCGGGCUGUUGAGAGAGAAAGGAGGGUGUGUUGCUCUGAUCAGCAUCAUUACUUCUCUUUUAGCACUCUUUAGCACUUCUACGUAGCUACAUCACCUUACUCUUCUGAAGAUGGCUAGAAUAAAGAAGGGAGUGAAGCAGAGCCGACUGAACCUAAAAGCGGCAAGAGAAAAGAAGAAAAAGCAGACGCCGAGUGUUGAUGCCCGCGUGACCACAAGCAGUGAGUCACCACCACCACCACCACCCAGCAUGUCACCAUCACCAUCCAGCGUGAAGAGGAAGAACCUUUUGACAAAAGAAUCUGAUAUACCAGUGGUAACACAAGAAAAUGUCUUUUUGAAGAAACAAAGCUUAGAAGAACUUGCAUCGAAUGUGUGCUGCCCUGAGUGUUUUGAGAAGAUGAAGUGCAUAUUCACGAGAAAACAUGCAGACAGUAGCUUCAAAAUUGUGUGUACAAAGUGUUCAUAUAUAGCAAAAGACACUGCUGAAGACCACAAAAGUAAGGAAGUAAGUGAAGGACUGAGGCUAGUAGAAGAUGUCUACAAAAGGCUAACAACUGAUGAUAUGAUGACGAGGUGCCUCAGAGGGAAGACUCAAAAUCCCAAUGAGUCAUUACACCACAGAAUAUGGCGCUACUGCUCAAAGCACAAAAAUGCCACGAAGGAAAUGCUGGACUUCGCAACUGCACAGGCGGUGUCCAACUUCAAUGGAGGAUAUCUUUCUAGCGACCUGUGCAGUAAGUUGGGAGUGGCCUUCACAGACAAGAACUACAAAUACCUUACAAAGGAAAACACCAAAAUGGACAGGCCGAUCAAGAAGAAGAUCAGAAGCAAACAACUGCAAAAGGACCUGGAGGCAUAUGCAUCUGGUGCGCAUUAGCCAUGCAGCGACACUCCCAGAACUUCAGAGCCUCUUUUCUCAAAACAUAGAUACCAUGAUGAAACUUCGCCUCAUCAUUUACCAUAUGGUUACACACUUUGAGUAAAAUUUACAAAAGGCUA